AAACCCUAAAUCUCUACUCCUCCACCACACUUCCAUUUCAAACCCUUAAAUCAUAUUCUCACUCUCUCUCACUCUCUCCUCCAAUUUCUCUCUCUACAACCCACAACGGCCAUGGCUCUUCUCUCACCCAAUUCAUCGAUCCAGAGCUGCCAUGGAGACUAGCAAAAGGCGAGAGCUGGUUUUCAGAGACUUCCAUUACCUUUUACCCGUUCCGAACUCACUCAACACUCAUCACGAUGGAUCGGUAUCAGAGGGUAGAGAAACCGUGGCCAAAGACGCCGAUUAAGAAUGAGAUUCGUAUAACCACUUAGGGAAGGAUGAGGAACUACAUUAUUUAUGCUACCACUCUGUUUAAGGGAGUUUGAUCAUAAACAAAAGGCAAGGUCCCUUUUAGGAAACCGCAUUAAUGGUUCAAUUCCAAAGGAAAUCAAAUCAGAGACAUUGCUACUCUUGAGGAGCUGGUCUUGGAAGAUAAUCAGCUUGGAGGACCUCUUCAUCAAAACCUUGGAAAUUUGAGCUGCAUGAGGAGGCUCUUUCUUUCUGCCAACAAUUUUACUGGAACAAUUCCAGACACAUUUAGCAAAUUGAAGAACUUGACAGAUUUGUAAGUGGUAAUU
Non-coding RNA from Camellia sinensis, 617 nucleotides. NCBI's taxonomy places the organism in Eukaryota, Viridiplantae, Streptophyta, Magnoliopsida, Ericales, Theaceae. The record is from RefSeq and is a predicted model, not a curated record.